Poecilia latipinna (sailfin molly) is the source of this 1002-nucleotide long non-coding RNA. RefSeq lists it as uncharacterized. The transcript has 4 exons. NCBI's taxonomy places the organism in Eukaryota, Metazoa, Chordata, Actinopteri, Cyprinodontiformes, Poeciliidae. The record is from RefSeq and is a predicted model, not a curated record.
AUGUUUUUAAAGAGGAAAUAACAUUAUUUUAAAAAAGUUGAUUUCACACCCUGCCCCUUUAACUGAGAUAUGUAACAAGUUUUAAAGCGGCACCAAGACAUUUAAAGAGAUGUGCAAUGUUUUAACUAAAAGCAUACCUGCCAGGGUCUUUGUAUCUUUUCUUUAUUUGUAAAAUGUUUUCUAAUGACUGCUUCUGCCAUUUUACAUUCAGCCGCUUUUCUCCCCUGAUCGCCCCCAUGAGUUUUCAUUCAGACCACACCCACUUCAAUGUUUUCUUUGCUCUGUCAGUAAUCUGGCUCUCUGUGAGAAAACGUGCAACAUUUCAUGUUAUCUUCUUCAAAAGGUCCGUUUUGAAUUUUUUUCCCGCAAUUUUCCUGGAUUUUUUUCCCUCUGUAUUUUUGCAAUUUUCUUUUCCACCCUUCCUGCGUGACUUCUUUGCAUUACCAUCAGAAACAGUUUCGGUUCUUGGAAAUGGAUACCUUUGUAUGUGACAAACUAAACCAGUGGGGUCUCAGCGAGUAUAUUGAAAUAUUUCAAGAUCAAGGGGUUGACACAGAGAGCCUUUAUUGUCUUGAGGAUGAAGAUAUUGACAAGCUGAUCACAAAAGUGGGACCGAGAGCUCGGUUCAAGAAAAGACUCAAGCAGUUAAAGGAAGAAGAAAACACUAAUAGUGAAAAAGAAAUUUGUCCUAAACCAGUAAGGCAAUCCUCUUCUCACAAUAAAUGUCAAAUAUUACAUCCAUUAACUAUCAAUAUUAAAUGAUCUUAGACUAGAUUAGGAAUACCCUUUAUUUUCCUGAAGUAGGGAGUUCAGCAGGUGUAACAGCAGCAACCUCACAGGAAAUUGAGGCAUGUUGGUUCACAUAAAGAUAAAUAGUAUAAAAAUAUUUAAAAACAAAUUUAAGAAUAAUAUAAUGCACAGUAAAGACAAAUUUACCACAUAAAAUACUGCACAGUCAUCAAAAAUAACAUCCUGUUAUCAUAUGUGCAACUGAGCAGGAUA